Molecule: ribosomal RNA, 205 nt
Filed under: uncultured bacterium
Lineage: Bacteria
Description: partial 16S ribosomal RNA
Rfam family: Bacterial small subunit ribosomal RNA
Source: RNAcentral
AGCGCAGGCGGUUUGAUAAGUCUGAAGUAAAAGGCUGUGGCUUAACCAUAGUAUGCUUUGGAAACUGUCAAACUUGAGUGCAGAAGGGGAGAGUGGAAUUCCAUGUGUAGCGGUGAAAUGCGUAGAUAUAUGGAGGAACACCGGUGGCGAAAGCGGCUCUCUGGUCUGUAACUGACGCUGAGGCUGAAAGCGUGGGGAACAAACA